GGGCAUUUGGCCGAGUGGUUAAGGCGCUGUGUUUAGGUACUCUGAAAAGAAACUUAAAUCCCGCAGUGGGAAACCGCGCAGGUUCGAAUCCUGCAGUGCUCA
Molecule: non-coding RNA, 102 nt
Organism: Bisporella sp. PMI_857
Lineage: Eukaryota; Fungi; Ascomycota; Leotiomycetes; Helotiales; Helotiaceae
Source: the annotation of a GenBank genome assembly